Molecule: ribosomal RNA, 216 nt
Filed under: Glomeromycotina sp.
Lineage: Eukaryota; Fungi; Glomeromycota
Description: partial small subunit ribosomal RNA
Rfam family: Eukaryotic small subunit ribosomal RNA (bases 40-216)
Source: RNAcentral
GGGUCAGUAGGUUGGUCGUGCCACCGGUACGUACUGGUCUCACUGAUUCCUCCUUCCUGAAGAACCGUAAUGCCAUUAAAUUGGUGUUGCGGGGAAACAGGACUGUUACUUUGAAAAAAUUAGAGUGUUUAAAGCAAGCUAACGCUUGAAUACAUUAGCAUGGAAUAAUGGAAUAGGACGAUCGAUCCUAUUUUGUUGGUUUCUAGGAUUGACGUA